Long non-coding RNA from Pygocentrus nattereri (red-bellied piranha), 180 nucleotides. RefSeq lists it as uncharacterized. NCBI's taxonomy places the organism in Eukaryota, Metazoa, Chordata, Actinopteri, Characiformes, Serrasalmidae. The record is from RefSeq and is a predicted model, not a curated record. The transcript has 2 exons.
GAGCAGAGGAUAGAGGAAGAUACUGGUGUAGGGUAAAGAGGCCUAAACCACUUCCUGACCUUUACACAGAGAUCCUAUUACUGGUUGAACAGGGUGACCCUCCUGCCGUCUCUCCCUCCACAUAUUCUCCUCCGUCAGUGCAGACACAAACCACACCUCUCUCCAGUUUUCCAUCUACAG